Molecule: ribosomal RNA, 251 nt
Filed under: uncultured prokaryote
Description: partial 16S rRNA
Rfam family: Bacterial small subunit ribosomal RNA
Source: RNAcentral
ACGGAGGAUGCAAGCGUUAUCCGGAUUCAUUGGGUUUAAAGGGCGCGCAGGCGGAAUGAUAAGUCAGUGGUGAAAGACUAUGGCUUAACUGGAGAACUGCCAUGGAAACUGUUGUACUAGAGGGCAGAAGAGAUGAGUGGAAUUCUCGAUGUAGCGGUAAAAUGCUUAGAUAUGGCGCAGAACACCGAUGGCGAAGGCAGCUUACUAGACCGUACCUGACGCUCAUGCGCGAAAGCGUGGGGAGCAAACAG